This 482-nucleotide ribosomal RNA is filed under the name uncultured bacterium. RNAcentral's name for it is "partial 16S ribosomal RNA". It matches the Rfam family "Bacterial small subunit ribosomal RNA", at positions 30 to 507 of the family's 1533-position model. The record is from RNAcentral.
AUUGAACGCUGGCGGCAUGCCUUACACAUGCAAGUCGAACGGUAACAGGUCUUCUGAUGCUGACGAGUGGCGAACGGGUGAGUAAUACAUCGGAACGUGCCCGAUCCUGGGGGAUAACGAAGCGAAAGCUUUGCUAAUACCGCAUACGAUCUACGGAUGAAAGCAGGGGACCGCAAGGCCUUGCGCGAACGGAGCGGCCGAUGGCAGAUUAGGUAGUUGGUGGGAUAAAAGCUUACCAAGCCGACGAUCUGUAGCUGGUCUGAGAGGACGACCAGCCACACUGGGACUGAGACACGGCCCAGACUCCUACGGGAGGCAGCAGUGGGGAAUUUUGGACAAUGGGCGAAAGCCUGAUCCAGCCAUGCCGCGUGCAGGAUGAAGGCCUUCGGGUUGUAAACUGCUUUUGUACGGAACGAAAAGACUCUGGUUAAUACCUGGGGUCCAUGACGGUACCGUAAGAAUAAGCACCGGCUAACUACGUG